GAUUGAAAUCUCGAUUUCGAGAUUGGGUGAGGCUCAGCGAGAAGUGUAGUUUGUAGUAUGAGCUUUAACGGAUUUUGCAGCCAUUUUUAAGCCAAAAAUA
Molecule: non-coding RNA, 100 nt
Organism: Caenorhabditis elegans
Lineage: Eukaryota; Metazoa; Nematoda; Chromadorea; Rhabditida; Rhabditidae
Source: Ensembl